This 144-nucleotide long non-coding RNA is filed under the name Struthio camelus australis. RNAcentral describes it as "lncRNA (ENSSCUG00000004263.1)". The record is from RNAcentral. Lineage: Eukaryota; Metazoa; Chordata; Aves; Struthioniformes; Struthionidae.
AACUGCUGAGGGCUCCCAAAUAGCCAGCGUUGCCCGGCAUAGUUGUUGCCAGCGUCUCUGAUGCCUCGGUAUCGUUAUAUUUCAAAUACUGAGUUGUGCUGUUUGUUUGUUUCAGAGUGAUUACACCAAUUAAAUCCGGACAAG